CUGCCUGCAGCCUUUGUCCUUCUGGAGGCUUUACAGCCCUUGAAGACCCACUGCCCCACGGAGGGGUGCCAUGUGCAGCCGGAGAUGGAUGCCAUGUAUGAAAUAGUCGAGCAGUUCAACAGGACCCUCGAGGACCUAACAAGAUACCUGGACACCCUCAACCAGGAGACGCCUGAGGGCAGUGACAGCUCCUGGACCUCCAUCACGGCGAGCGACACUGGCUCCUCUUCAAGGGUCU
This is a long non-coding RNA of Gymnogyps californianus (California condor), 238 nucleotides long. RefSeq lists it as uncharacterized. Lineage: Eukaryota; Metazoa; Chordata; Aves; Accipitriformes; Cathartidae. The record is from RefSeq and is a predicted model, not a curated record. The transcript has 3 exons.